GUGAUUCAAAUGAGGCUGUUUAAUCGCACCCUAACCAUUCCUCUGGUCACAGUGAUGGGCAUCUGAUACAGGCCUGGCCAAUCAUGACACCCAUCUUCUUAAAAUUAGGGAUUACACCCUGCUUGCUCCCCCAGGGACUAAACUAACUCCUUCUUUGGAUACAUGGAUGCUAAGAGAAAGACCGAGUCUCUCCCUGUGGGGUUUCUAAGCUGGGAUGGUAGAAACCCUGAGAUGCUGACACUCACCUUCUCCCGGAGAAGAAAUGGCUGGCACACAGAAAAACAAACCAUGGAAUGGAAAAAUGAUACUGUUUGAUCCUCUAGAUCUACCCAUACUGAAGCUAAUUCCCUUUUUGUCUAACCUAAUUUGAACUGGGUUUCUUUAACUUGGAACUGAAAGAUAAUUAGUAAACUGAAUAUACCUUUAAUACAAGGCAGUACAGCCUAUAAGCCAAAUGCAAGGCCAGGAGCAGGGACUCACACCUAUAAUCCCAGCACUUUGGGAGGCUAAGGCAGGAGGUUUGUUUGAGCCCAAGUGUUUGAGGCCAGCAUGUGCAACAUGAUAAGACCCUGUCU
Molecule: long non-coding RNA, 575 nt
Organism: Sapajus apella (tufted capuchin)
Lineage: Eukaryota; Metazoa; Chordata; Mammalia; Primates; Cebidae
Exons: 2
Source: RefSeq, a predicted model, not a curated record